Non-coding RNA from Pelobates cultripes (western spadefoot toad), 272 nucleotides. The record is from the annotation of a GenBank genome assembly. Lineage: Eukaryota; Metazoa; Chordata; Amphibia; Anura; Pelobatidae.
UUUUCUCGUUUUCUCACGGAGAGAGAGAGAGAGAGACAAAAGCUUGGCUCACAGGAUGACUUUCAAUAGAUCGCAGCGAGGUAGCUGCUCUGCUACUCACGAAAACCUUGACCCAGAACCCCGUCGUCUACGAAUGAUUUAGCACCGGGUUCCCCCUCGAACGUGCGGUGCGCUUGGAGAGAGAUGGCACGCCCUCGUUCCGUCUGCCUUCCGGUCUCUAAGCGAGCGGCUCUGCCCACCGGCUCCCCCGGCGAGGGCCGGCUAUCGUCGGC